UGUGGGAUAACUGGAUCAAAUGGUGUUUCCAAGUUUUCUGAGGAAUCUCUAUACUGCUUUCCAGAGUGGUUGCACCAAUUUGCAGUCCCACCAGCAAU
This 98-nucleotide microRNA precursor is filed under the name Marmota monax (woodchuck). The record is from RNAcentral. Lineage: Eukaryota; Metazoa; Chordata; Mammalia; Rodentia; Sciuridae.